UACGGAGGGUGCAAGCGUUAUUCGGAAUCACUGGGCGUAAAGGACGCGUAGGCGGGUUGGCAAGUCAGAUGUGAAAUCCUACAGCUUAACUGUAGAACUGCAUUUGAAACUGCUAACCUAGAGUAUGGGAGGGGGAGAUGGAAUUAGUGGUGUAGGGGUAAAAUCCGUAGAUAUCACUAGGAAUACCGAAAGCGAAGGCGAUCUCCUGGAACAUAACUGACGCUAAGGCGUGAAAGCGUGGGGAGCAAACAGGAUUAGAAACCCCAGUAGUCC
This 273-nucleotide ribosomal RNA is filed under the name uncultured bacterium. RNAcentral's name for it is "partial 16S ribosomal RNA". It matches the Rfam family "Bacterial small subunit ribosomal RNA", at positions 524 to 796 of the family's 1533-position model. The record is from RNAcentral.